UACGGAGGGGGCUAGCGUUGUUCGGAAUUACUGGGCGUAAAGCGCACGUAGGCGGCUUUGUAAGUUAGAGGUGAAAGCCCGGGGCUCAACUCCGGAAUUGCCUUUAAGACUGCAUCGCUAGAAUUGUGGAGAGGUAAGUGGAAUUCCGAGUGUAGAAGUGAAAUUCGUAGAUAUUCGGAAGAACACCAGUGGCGAAGGCGACUUACUGGACACAUAUUGACGCUGAGGUGCGAAAGCGUGGGGAGCAAACAGG
This 253-nucleotide ribosomal RNA is filed under the name uncultured bacterium. RNAcentral describes it as "partial 16S ribosomal RNA". It matches the Rfam family "Bacterial small subunit ribosomal RNA", at positions 524 to 776 of the family's 1533-position model. The record is from RNAcentral.